RNAcentral lists this ribosomal RNA (253 nucleotides) under uncultured bacterium. RNAcentral's name for it is "partial 16S ribosomal RNA". It matches the Rfam family "Bacterial small subunit ribosomal RNA", at positions 524 to 776 of the family's 1533-position model. The record is from RNAcentral.
GACAGAGGGGGCAAGCGUUGCUCGGAAUUACUGGGCGUAAAGGGUGCGUAGGCGGCGCGGUAAGUCGGGUGUGAAAUCUUGGAGCUUAACUCCGAAACUGCAUUCGAUACUGCCGUGCUUGAGGACUGGAGAGGAGACUGGAAUUUACGGUGUAGCGGUGAAAUGCGUAGAUAUCGUAAGGAAGACCAGUGGCGAAGGCGGGUCUCUGGACAGUUCCUGACGCUGAGGCACGAAGGCCAGGGGAGCAAACGGG